This 290-nucleotide ribosomal RNA is filed under the name uncultured bacterium. RNAcentral's name for it is "partial 16S ribosomal RNA". It matches the Rfam family "Bacterial small subunit ribosomal RNA", at positions 505 to 796 of the family's 1533-position model. The record is from RNAcentral.
GUGCCAGCAGCCGCGGUAAAACGUAGGGGACAAGCGUUAUCCGGAUUUACUGGGCGUAAAGCGCCCGUAGGCGGCUUAAUAAGUUGGACGUGAAAGCUCCCGGCUUAACUGGGAGAGGCCGUUCAAAACUGUAAGGCUAGAGUGAGGCAGAGGAGCGCGGAAUUCCCGGUGUAGUGGUGGAAUGCGUAGAUAUCGGGAGGAACACCAGUGGCGAAAGCGGCGCUCUGGGCCUAAACUGACGCUGAGGGGCGAAAGCGUGGGGAGCGAACGGGAUUAGACCCUGGUAGUCC